Molecule: ribosomal RNA, 1065 nt
Filed under: uncultured bacterium
Lineage: Bacteria
Description: bacterial SSU rRNA
Rfam family: Bacterial small subunit ribosomal RNA
Source: RNAcentral
CUGCAGUCGACGGGAUUAUUUUGUAGCAAUACAGAAAUAAUUUAGUGGCGAACGGGUGCGUAACACGUGGGCAAUCUGCCGAAAAGUGGGGGAUAGCUCGCCGAAAGGCGAAUUAAUACCGCAUGUGGUGAGGGACGACAUCUUCCUGAAUCCAAAGCCGGGGUCAAACCUGGCGCUUUUUGAGGAGCCCGCGGCCUAUCAGCUAGUUGGUGAGGUAACGGCCCACCAAGGCUUUGACGGGUAGCUGGUCUGAGAGGACGACCAGUCACACUGGAACUGAGACACGGUCCAGACACCUACGGGUGGCAGCAGUCGAGAAUUUUUCUCAAUGGGGGCAACCCUGAAGGAGCGACGCCGCGUGGAGGAUGAAGGCUUUCGGGUUGUAAACUCCUGUCAUUUGGGAACAAGUUGUACGUAUUUACCGUACGUGCAUUGAUAGUACCAGAAGAGGAAGGGACGGCUAACUCUGUGCCAGCAGCCGCGGUAAUACAGAGGUCCCAAGCGUUGUUCGGAUUCAUUGGGCGUAAAGGGUGCGUAGGUGGCGCCGUAAGUCGGGUGUGAAAUUUCGGAGCUUAACUCCGAAACUGCAUUCGAUACUGCGGUGCUUGAGGACUGGAGAGGAGACUGGAAUUCAUGGUGUAGCAGUGAAAUGCGUAGAGAUCAUGAGGAAGACCAGUGGCGAAGGCGGGUCUCUGGACAGUUCCUGACACUGAGGCACGAAGGCCAGGGGAGCAAACGGGAUUAGAUACCCCGGUAGUCCUGGCAGUAAACGGUGCACGUUUGGUGUGGGAGGAUUCGACCCCUUCCGCGCCGGAGCUAACGCGUUAAACGUGCCGCCUGGGGAGUACGGUCGCAAGAUUAAAACUCAAAGAAAUUGACGGGGGCCCGCACAAGCGGUGGAGUAUGUGGCUUAAUUCGAUGCAACGCGAGGAACCUUACCAGGCCUUGACAUGCAUUUCUAAGCGGUGAAAGCCCGUGAGUCUCGAAAGAGAUAACUUGCACAGGUGCUGCAUGGCUGUCGUCAGCUCGUGUCGUGAGAUGUUGGGUUAAGUCCCGCACGAGCGC